Molecule: long non-coding RNA, 976 nt
Organism: Pipra filicauda (Wire-tailed manakin)
Lineage: Eukaryota; Metazoa; Chordata; Aves; Passeriformes; Pipridae
Exons: 3
Source: RefSeq, a predicted model, not a curated record
CAAACCUGUGGGCAUGAGAUGGAAAGACUGGUUUAAAGGUGAGAACUAAUAGACUUGAAUCUCUAUGUUAAAUCUGAGGAAGAGUGUCCAAAGAAGAGCAAUGAAGCUGGUUAAAGGUCCUGAGAACAACUCUGGUGAGGAGCAGAAACCAGAGAGGUGCAGCCGGGCGGGCAGAAGGAGACCAAGCGGAGCUCUGAGUCAGGAACUCCCCCCAGCACGCAGCGGGACUUACCAUGCCGGGCAGUGCGAGGUCUGAGAGCGGCGGAUGCUCAAGGGGGUGGCAGCGCUGGGUGACCCGAGGCCGGACCCCAGGAUGCCGCCCACACCCACGGCACCGGAGAAGCGGCUCCGCCCGCGGGCUGAGUGGCUCCGGAGCGAGGAGCGCGGGGCGCGGAGCAUCCCGGCGAGGCUCAGGCUCCAGAACAUCCCUGACCUGCCCUGCCCUGCAGAACCUAGCGCAGUCCGUCCGCAUGCCCUGUUCGGGCGGUAAUCCCGCCUCUCCGGUCCAGCGGCAGCUCGGCCGGUCCCGGGCUACAGCCCAGGCUGCCUCCAAGCUUAACCACUUUAAACAGCUCGUCUGCAUCGUGAGCACCGGGUCCAGUAACUCUUCUAAUCUAAUCUAAUCUAAUCUAAUCUAAUCUAAUCUAAUCUAAUCUAAUCUAAUCUAGCAAUCUGAUCUAAUUGCCUUUUUCCGUGUAGUCUUCUGUAGUAAAAUUCUAAGUGUUCACCAGGCAAACUGAAACGUAAACUCAUAAAGCUACUCACAAAGCGUUUAUCUGAAACUAUGUUGUCCAUGGAUUGCUAACACCUGUCAUAUGCUAUACUCUGUGCUUGUGCAACAUUCCCUUUUUGAGGGAUCUGGUUGCAUAGCCAUCCGGAUUGCCAAUACAUAUUUGUCAUGAUUAAAAGUGAGCCAAAUUUUACAGGUCAUUGUGAAGUAAAAGAUACAUUAAAAUGAAAGGAAAUACAUUGUUAA